AUUGAACGCUGGCGGCAGGCUUAACACAUGCAAGUCGAACGGAACCUUCGGGUUUAGUGGCAAACGGGUGAGUAAUGCAUCGGAACGUGCCCCAAUCGUGGGGGAGUAACGUAGCGAAAGUUACGCUAAUACCGCAUAAGCCCUGAGGGGGAAAGGUAGGGGGACCGGCGAAGGCCUCACGCGAAUGGAGCGGCCGAUGUCAGAUUAGCUAGUUGGUGGGGUAAAGGCGUCACCAAGGCGACGAUCUGUAGCGGGUCUGAGAGGAUGAUCCGCCACACUGGGACUGAGACACGGCCCAGACUCCUACGGGAGGCAGCAGUGGGGAAUAUUGGACAAUGGGGGAAACCCUGAUCCAGCAAUGCCGCGUGCAGGAUG
RNAcentral lists this ribosomal RNA (375 nucleotides) under uncultured bacterium. Its description in RNAcentral is "bacterial SSU rRNA". It matches the Rfam family "Bacterial small subunit ribosomal RNA", at positions 29 to 410 of the family's 1533-position model. The record is from RNAcentral.